CAACAAAGUUCAGUUUACGCGCCGCGAUUGGGCGCUGAGCAUCUGGUCGGAUCUCUUAAAGGGAGAGCUGCACCGUUAAUAACGUUUGACGUGUUCACAAAAACAGGCUGCCCUUUACAUCGUAACCAGAGCCAGUUAAAGGUCUUUCUAACCAAGGACAGGGAGACAUAAAAGGCCAUGAGGGGAGAGGAAUGUCCAGCUGGUGAGCCUGGACACUGCCCAGUCAUGUCUAUGUCGAGAGUGUACAAAGGCCAUCGGAACCAAAAAAACUCGCACUUGCAGACAUGAAACUGUCAAAAUAAUGGUAAUGCUUUAUUUUAUGGGCCUGUGAUUCCUCAAUAAUAUAUUUAACUAUUGAUAAUUCCCACAAAGUCUCCCGGGAAGAGCUACCAUUUGCUGAUUACAGGGAAAAUAGAAAUAGUGUCCAACUGGUGGUUUAGUAGGUUUAAUUAAUAUUUACUUUGGUUAAAAUUAAGCAUUUCUUAUAGCAUUACCAUUUUUUUUUUCUUGACAAAUAAGUACCCUAAAGACAGCUGCUGCAGGCUCAUGACAUAAUGGCAGCCAUCACUUAAACUGGAGGAUUUGGAGUGUGUGUGAGGCAGAUAAUUGUCCCUCAUUAUUCCCAACAAUCAAGCAUGGGUGGGGAUUGUUUCAUUCCUGUCAGGUGUCAUGAAAAUGUAUGUUGCGCCCAAUAAAAUUACUUAGUAGUAUUUCCUUAAAAAGUGAGCAAACAAAGCAAAGAUUAGAUUAGAUAAAGAAUGAGUGACAAUUACAGCCGCAAAAGGCGUAUUUCUAAAAACAUGUAUGUACCUGAUGAAUGUUGUCCUUGAUGGAGUUUUGCAAUGUCGUCACUCACUGAAAUGUUAAACUUCCAAGAGAGAGUCACAAGGAAUUAACAUUGCAGUACGCCCACUCGCUGUACCUGCGUCAAAACUUGGAGGAAUUUCCACAGAAAGAUAGUGAGCUUGUGUUACUUUAAAUGAGACAGGAUGUUUUAAUCAUGGAUCAUUUUUUGUCAUUCUCCACUGCUGGGUUGCAAAAACAGAACUGACAGAAGUAAUUAUGUAAUAGCUAGUGCAACCACGCAUUUGUUCUUAAAGGUCAUUGUCAGUACAUUUAUACAGGGAGUGUUUGCUGCUGUUUUAUUUGUGAUUUGUUUUAUUGAUUAUUUGGUGCUGCUUUGUACUGUAUACAGGUAUUGAGUUAUAAAUAAAUUGGGAUUGGAUGGGCAUCUCUCAUGGAGCCUACUUUAUCCAUUCCCAUUGUGUAAAUUUCCUUGAGUUAGUGCACAUCCCUUUCACUUGUCUGAUGAACAUUUAUGUGACCCUUUCUUGGCAUGUACUUCCUUUGUAAAAUGACUUUGUGGGUGUUUUCUGAUGAAAUGUUUUCUGAUGUAAAUCUAUGGAAGUUAUGGUAGUUGUUACUUCCACUUAUAUCUGCCACAGUCAGUUUUCAUUAUUCUUUUAAUCCCUGAUUAAGUAAACUAUGUACAAUAUCACUGUAAACUAAAUGCUAAUGUAAAACUGUGUAUUUAUUUACAUACUAUAUUUUUAUUAUUAUUGCAUCAUUAUUAUUUUAUAAUUUAAUAAAAUAUUCACAAACUGACUACAGGGACAUUAUAGAUUUGAGGUAACAAAAAAGUCAAAACAAACAAACAAACAAACAAUUUAAAUAUUUACAAGUGUAAACUAACUAUUUACAUAGGUUAAGCUGUAGGAACACCUCAGUCCAGAGAUCUGGAGAAAAAGUGAAAGAGAAACUCAAAUGUGCCACAUGACUACCUGCGCAUGGCACAGGAGGAGAGGGAGAGACCCACUAAGCAGAAUGCGUGUGAAUGAAUUACAAUUAAAUUUAUCUGAGAUGUCUUUUCCCUCAUGGACUGAAUAAAUCGCUAAAAUUGGUUCUUUUUAGAAAUAAAGUUGCUAAGAAGGUAGCUAAAUCUAGCGACCAUUUGUAAUGAUACAUUUCCUCGCUGUAUCUAAGUGUCUCAGGUGCAUCGUCCCCGGUAUGAUGGGACCUCCUUAAUUUUGAGCACUGUUAUAGAUACAAAAUCAGACUGAAUGGGCCUCCGUAGUCUUUCAUGUAUUUUACAACUCAUAAAAUGGCAGGUCAUCAUAUUGAUCUUACGCUCAAUCGGUGUACAAUACUGAGUAUUUUGAAGUAUAAAUGGAGUUGGUUCUGUGAAUACAAUGUGAUAGAAAAGUCCUUGAGAGAACUUAAUGCAAUAUACACUACAAUAACUGCUGCACAGAGAUUACCUUCUAUCAAAGAAUACACGUCAUACCCCUUCAGACCCUGUGUCCAUUACAAUGGACGUCACUUGACAGGGGCUUCUUUUUUACUUUUUGCAACAUUUAACAGACAAAAAAAAGGUAUGAUGUUGUCAUAUGAUGUUGGUAUUUUAAGAAUUGUUUGGACCCGAUGUCCAUUGAAAUGGACAAGAAAAAUAACAAUUAAAGGGUUUUGAUUAAAAACAUUUUUUUUAUUGAUUCUCAUUUCUGGUUGCAUUAAGGAUGGGAAAAAGUCAUUAUUAUAUUUUUCACAACCUUGGAACAUAAGGCGGGUCUGAAGGGGUUAAGACAUCUUUCUACAUGCGUAUGACUGCAGGUGAUUCAUGCAGACACAUGCACCCUUCACUUUUUCAACUAGCUUAUUUCUCACUUAUGUAAUGUAUAUUUAUGUGACCGUUACUUGGCAUGUACUUCCACGGUAAAAUGACUUUGUGGGUGUUUUCUGAUGAAAUGUUUGUUCCAAAGAAGGAAAUGUUGGCUUGUCAUCUUAUCAUUAGUAAUAUGUCUGUUUUGAUUGUGCUACGAUGGAAAGAGUAAAUGUGAUUAAUAUUGCCACGGGGUCGACAUAACAAACAUGUGAACAUAUUUUUAUUUAUACUAUUUAUGAUAACUUUGAUUCAGUCACUGGCAACAUUUCAUUGACUCGCUCUGGUCCACCAUGGAAGUUAUGGUAGUUGUUACUUCCACUUAUAUCUGAAAUAAAAAAAUUGGCCACAA
Dicentrarchus labrax (European seabass) is the source of this 3008-nucleotide long non-coding RNA. RefSeq lists it as uncharacterized. Lineage: Eukaryota; Metazoa; Chordata; Actinopteri; Moronidae. The record is from RefSeq and is a predicted model, not a curated record. The transcript is spliced from 3 exons.